UGGGGGAUAUUGCACAAUGGGCGAAAGCCUGAUGCAGCAACGCCGCGUGAGGGAAGACGGUCUUCGGAUUGUAAACCUUUAGCUUUGGGGAAGAAACAAAUGACGGUACCCAAAGGGGCAGCCACGGCUAACUACGUGCCAGCAGCCGCGGUAAUACGUAGGUGGCAAGCGUUGUCCGGAAUUACUGGGUGUAAAGGGAGCGCAGGCGGGGAGACAAGUCAGCUGUGAAAUACAUGGGCUUAACCCAUGAAUUGCAGUUGAAACUGUUUUUCUUGAGUGGAGUAGAGGUAGGCGGAAUUCCGAGUGUAGCGGUGAAAUGCGUAGAUAUUCGGAGGAACACCAGUGGCGAAGGCGGCCUACUGGGCUCUAACUGACGCUGAGGCUCGAAAGUGUGGGGAGCAAACAG
RNAcentral lists this ribosomal RNA (406 nucleotides) under uncultured bacterium. Its description in RNAcentral is "bacterial SSU rRNA". It matches the Rfam family "Bacterial small subunit ribosomal RNA", at positions 355 to 775 of the family's 1533-position model. The record is from RNAcentral.